UCAGAUGAACGCUGGCGGCAGGCCUAACACAUGCAGUCGAGCGGAGGAAGGGAGCUUGCUCCUGGAUUCAGCGGCGGACGGGUGAGUAAUGCCUAGGAAUCUGCCUCGUAGUGGGGGAUAACGUAGGGAAACGGACGCUAAUACCGCAUACGUCCUACGGGAGAAAGUAGGGGAUCUUCGGACCUCGCGCAUCUGAUGAGCCGAUGUCGGAUUAGCUAGUUGGUGGGGUAAAGGCCUACCAAGGCGACGAUCCGUAGCUGGUCUGAGAGGAUGAUCAGUCACACUGGAAAUGAGACACGGUCCAGACUCCUACGGGAGGCAGCAGUGGGGAAUAUUGGACAAUGGGCGCAAGCCUGAUCCAGCCCUACCGCGUGGGUGAAGAAGGCCUUUGGGUUGUAAAGCACUUUAAUUUGGGAGGAAGGGCAGUAAGUUAAUACCUUGCUGUUUUGACGUUACCAACAGAAUAAGCACCGGCUAACUUCGUGCCAGCAGCCGCGGUAAUACGAAGGGUGCCAGCGUUACUCGGAAUUACUGGGCGUAAAGCGUGCGUAGGUGGUUCAGCAAGUUCGAUGUGAAAUCCCCGGGCUCAACCUGGGAACUGCAUCCAAAACUACUGAGCUAGAGUACGGUAGAGGGUGGUGGAAUUUCCUGUGUAGCGGUGAAAUGCGUAGAUAUAGGAAGGAACACCAGUGGCGAAGGCGACCACCUGGACUCAUACUGACACUGAGGUACGAAAGCGUGGGGAGCAAACAGGAUUAGAUACCCUGGUAGUCCACGCCCUAAACGAUGUCGACUAGGCGUUGGGAUGCUUGAGAUCUUAGUGGCGCAGCUAACGCGAUAAGUCGACCGCCUGGGGAGUACGGCCGCAAGGUUAAAACUCAAAUGAAUUGACGGGGGCCCGCACAAGCG
This 909-nucleotide ribosomal RNA is filed under the name Pseudomonas aeruginosa. RNAcentral's name for it is "bacterial SSU rRNA". It matches the Rfam family "Bacterial small subunit ribosomal RNA", at positions 24 to 931 of the family's 1533-position model. The record is from RNAcentral. Lineage: Bacteria; Pseudomonadati; Pseudomonadota; Gammaproteobacteria; Pseudomonadales; Pseudomonadaceae.